RNAcentral lists this ribosomal RNA (687 nucleotides) under Mycosarcoma mackinlayi. RNAcentral describes it as "LSU rRNA". It matches the Rfam family "Eukaryotic large subunit ribosomal RNA", at positions 272 to 946 of the family's 3401-position model. The record is from RNAcentral. Lineage: Eukaryota; Fungi; Basidiomycota; Ustilaginomycetes; Ustilaginales.
GUUUGGGAAUGCAGCUCAAAAUGGGUGGUAAAUGCCAUCUAAGGCUAAAUAUUGGGGAGAGACCGAUAGCGAACAAGUACAGUGAUGGAAAGAUGAAAAGAACUUUGAAAAGAGAGUUAAACAGUACGUGAAAUUGCCAAAAGGGAAGGGUAGGAGGUCAGAGAUGCGUCUUGGGAUUCAGCCUUGCUUUUGCCUGGUGUUUUUCCCAAGUUGCAGGCCAACGUCGGUUUUGGGCACUGGAGAAGGGUAGGAGGAACGUGGCACCUCUUGGGGUGUGUUAUAGCCUCCUACUGGAUACAGCGACCGAGACCGAGGAACGCAGCGUACUCGUAAGAGCGGGCCUUUUGGCACCUUUACGCUUAGGGCGUUGGCAUAAUGGCCCUCUACCACCCGUCUUGAAACACGGACCAAGGAGUCUAACAUGUAUGCGAGUCUUUGGGUGGCAAACCCAUAGGCGCAAUGAAAGUGAAUUCAGGUGGGAUCCGCAAGGUGCACCAUCGACCGAUCCUCACGUCUUUUAAGUCGUGGAUUUGAGUAAGAGCAUACCUGUUGGGACCCGAAAGAUGGUGAACUAUGCCUGAAUAGGGUGAAGCCAGAGGAAACUCUGGUGGAGGCUCGUAGCGGUUCUGACGUGCAAAUCGAUCGUCAAAUUUGGGUAAUAGGGCGAAAGACUAAUCGAACCAUUAA